This 597-nucleotide ribosomal RNA is filed under the name Aspergillus minisclerotigenes. RNAcentral's name for it is "eukaryotic LSU rRNA". It matches the Rfam family "Eukaryotic large subunit ribosomal RNA", at positions 1 to 600 of the family's 3401-position model. The record is from RNAcentral. Lineage: Eukaryota; Fungi; Ascomycota; Eurotiomycetes; Eurotiales; Aspergillaceae.
UGACCUCGGAUCAGGUAGGGGAUACCCGCUGAACUUAAGCAUAUCAAUAAGCGGAGGAAAAGAAACCAACCGGGAUUGCCUCAGUAACGGCGAGUGAAGCGGCAAGAGCUCAAAUUUGAAAGCUGGCUCCUUCGGGGUCCGCAUUGUAAUUUGCAGAGGAUGCUUCGGGUGCGGCCCCUGUCUAAGUGCCCUGGAACGGGCCGUCAGAGAGGGUGAGAAUCCCGUCUGGGAUGGGGUGUCCGCGCCCGUGUGAAGCUCCUUCGACGAGUCGAGUUGUUUGGGAAUGCAGCUCUAAAUGGGUGGUAAAUUUCAUCUAAAGCUAAAUACUGGCCGGAGACCGAUAGCGCACAAGUAGAGUGAUCGAAAGAUGAAAAGCACUUUGAAAAGAGAGUUAAAAAGCACGUGAAAUUGUUGAAAGGGAAGCGCUUGCGACCAGACUCGCCUCCAGGGUUCAGCCGGCAUUCGUGCCGGUGUACUUCCCUGGGGGCGGGCCAGCGUCGGUUUGGGCGGCCGGUCAAAGGCUCCCGGAAUGUAGUGCCCUCCGGGGCACCUUAUAGCCGGGAGUGCAAUGCGGCCAGCCUGGACCGAGGAACGCGC